Molecule: ribosomal RNA, 689 nt
Filed under: bacterium BZM12
Lineage: Bacteria
Description: bacterial SSU rRNA
Rfam family: Bacterial small subunit ribosomal RNA
Source: RNAcentral
UCACAUUCGCUGGCCCAGGCUUAACAUUGCAAGUCGACCGCCCUUUAGGGGGAGCGGCAGACGGGUGAGUAACGCGUGGGAAUCUACCUUUUGCUACGGAAUAACGCAGGGAAACUUGUGCUAAUACCGUAUGUGUCCUUCGGGAGAAAGAUUUAUCGGCAAGAGAUGAGCCCGCGUUGGAUUAGCUAGUUGGUGGGGUAAAGGCCUACCAAGGCGACGAUCCAUAGCUGGUCUGAGAGGAUGAUCAGCCACAUUGGGACUGAGACACGGCCCAAACUCCUACGGGAGGCAGCAGUGGGGAAUAUUGGACAAUGGGCGCAAGCCUGAUCCASCCAUGCCGCGUGAGUGAUGAAGGCCCUAUGGUUGUAAAGCUCUUUCACCGGAGAAGAUAAUGACGGUAUCCGGAGAAGAAGCCCCGGGCUAACUUUGUGCCAGCAGCCGCGGUAAUACGAAGGGGGCUAGCGUUGUUCGGAAUUACUGGGCGUAAAGCGCACGUAGGCGGAUCGAUCAGUCAGGGGUGAAAAUCCCACGGCUUCAAACCCCCUGGGAACUGGCCUUUUUGAAUACUUGUCCGAUCUUCGGAAGUAUUGGAAAGAGGGUGACCUUGGGAAAUUUCCCCAGUUGUAUAAAGGGUGAAAAUUUUUAAAAUAUUUCCCGAAGGGAACCACCCAGUUGGGCCGAAAAAGCCC